GUUCAGCUCAUCAGCCAGGUGGGAGAGAAUGUCACAGUUCUGCUUAACUUCUUUCUCCAGUGCAUCUAGUUUUGUGCGUGGAAAACCUGCAAGCCAGAAAGUGACCAAAUAUUCCACUUUUAAACUAGGCAGUCCCACGAUGAGCUGAGGGCGGCCACGAGGCAGAGCACGUCACAGAGCGCUUUUGCUCUGCUGUGCUGUUUCCUGGAUGGAGGAGUUGGGAGUUUCUGUGUCGCUUACCCCAUGCUGCGUCCCUGAUGGUCAGCUGCAUCGCCCUGAAGGCCAGGGUGCAGCCCCUGGCUUGACGUGCCAUUGCUGGGACAGCGAGGCAGCUCCUCCCAGUUCGACGUCAACGGGGAUGCUCAGGCUCCCAUCCACUCUGUCACUGACGCUUCCCGUGGUUGUGAACUCCCGUGGGCCUUGGCUGUCUCCGCUGGGAAGGAGGGACUCUGCAACGAUGUGGGAGUGGAUCCUGCUCAGCACUGGGGGCUCUUUCUUCCCCUGCCUUGCUCAGUGCCCCUCCGCUGUGACUUGGUGAGUUAAUGAGAGAGAAUGCUUGGUGAGAAUUAGAGAGAGGCCGUUGUGUCACGGGGCAAUGCCAGGGAGGCAGCUGCCCUGUGUGCUUAACAUGGGAUCGUUUCACUGCUCCGUGCUGGGCACUUUCCCUUGGAAGACUCCGAAACCAGACAAAACCAAGCAAGAACUGAGAGCAGACAGUUUGCUCUCCCCCCUCUUCUGUACCAAAAGCUUUAGGAACACACUGUCACGUCCUGCCCGGGGAGGGUGACCAGAUUCACAGAUCCUCUUGUUUGCAUUGAGGUGAAAGGACACUCGGACUCCAAGCACAAUCAGGACCGUAGUACAGCGAUUCUCAUUAAAACUGACUUUAAAAGUG
Numida meleagris (helmeted guineafowl) is the source of this 895-nucleotide long non-coding RNA. RefSeq lists it as uncharacterized. The transcript has 4 exons. NCBI's taxonomy places the organism in Eukaryota, Metazoa, Chordata, Aves, Galliformes, Numididae. The record is from RefSeq and is a predicted model, not a curated record.